RNAcentral lists this ribosomal RNA (253 nucleotides) under uncultured bacterium. RNAcentral describes it as "partial 16S ribosomal RNA". It matches the Rfam family "Bacterial small subunit ribosomal RNA", at positions 524 to 776 of the family's 1533-position model. The record is from RNAcentral.
GACGAGGGGUCCUAGCGUUGUUCGGAAUCACUGGGCGUAAAGCGUAUGUAGGCGGCCCUGUAAGUCAGAUGUGAAAUCCCAUGGCUUAACCAUGGAACUGCAUUUGAAACUGCAAGGCUUGAGUGUCAGAGAGGAUGGUAGAAUUCCUAGUGUAGUGGUGAAAUACGUAGAUAUUAGGAGGAACUCCGGUGGCGAAGGCGGCCAUCUGGCUGAACACUGACGCUGAGAUACGAAAGCGUGGGGAUCAAACAGG